Cinara cedri is the source of this 410-nucleotide non-coding RNA. Lineage: Eukaryota; Metazoa; Arthropoda; Insecta; Hemiptera; Aphididae. The record is from the annotation of a GenBank genome assembly.
GUGCAGUUGGCGGAAAAAUUGUUGCCAGAGAAACAAUCAAUCCAUAUAGAAAAGAUGUUACAGCUAAACUUUAUGGUGGGGAUGUGACGCGAAGGAUGAAACUCCUUGAGAAGCAGAAGAAGGGCAAAAAGAGACUGCAUUCCAUAGGAAAUAUAAGCAUUCCACAAAAUGCUUUUAUUCAAGCUUUAAAAAUAAAUGAUUAGAUAUUACUGUGGCCACAGUUAAAGGCUUUCUCGCCUAGGUUUUCUCAUAGUAAGAAAGGUAUAAAAGCCUCUUGCGUUUCGGCAAGAGGCUUUUAUGUGGCGUUACUUCAAAGAAGUUCAAUAGAAGCCAUUUGUUGAUGGAUCAUCAUUAUUGCCAGAUCUCGGCCUAACCUUGUUAUUAAAACGAGAACGAGGAGAUUUUUUAAA